Molecule: ribosomal RNA, 1446 nt
Filed under: metagenome
Description: bacterial SSU rRNA
Rfam family: Bacterial small subunit ribosomal RNA
Source: RNAcentral
AGAGUUUGAUCCUGGCUCAGGAUGAACGCUGGCGGUAUGCUUAACACAUGCAAGUCGAACGAAAUCUUCGGAUUUAGUGGCGGACGGGUGAGUAACGCGUGAGAAUCUGCCUUCAGGUCUGGGACAACCAUUGGAAACGGUGGCUAAUACCGGAUGUGCCUUCGGGUGAAAGGUUUACUGCCUGAAGAUGAGCUCGCGUCUGAUUAGCUAGUUGGUGGGGUAAGAGCCUACCAAGGCGACGAUCAGUAACUGGUCUGAGAGGAUGAUCAGUCACACUGGAACUGAGACACGGUCCAGACUCCUACGGGAGGCAGCAGUGGGGAAUUUUCCGCAAUGGGCGAAAGCCUGACGGAGCAAUACCGCGUGAGGGAGGAAGGCUCUUGGGUUGUAAACCUCUUUUCUCAAGGAAGAAGACAAUGACGGUACUUGAGGAAUAAGCAUCGGCUAACUCCGUGCCAGCAGCCGCGGUAAUACGGAGGAUGCAAGCGUUAUCCGGAAUGAUUGGGCGUAAAGCGUCCGCAGGUGGCUUUGUAAGUCUGCCGUUAAAGAGUCAUGCUCAACAUGAUCAAGGCGGUGGAAACUACUAGGCUAGAGUACGUUCGGGGCAGAGGGAAUUCCUGGUGUAGCGGUGAAAUGCGUAGAGAUCAGGAAGAACACCGGUGGCGAAGGCGCUCUGCUAGGCCGUAACUGACACUGAGGGACGAAAGCUAGGGGAGCGAAUGGGAUUAGAUACCCCAGUAGUCCUAGCCGUAAACGAUGGAUACUAGGUGUUGCUUGUAUCGACCCGAGCAGUACCGUAGCUAACGCGUUAAGUAUCCCGCCUGGGGAGUACGCACGCAAGUGUGAAACUCAAAGGAAUUGACGGGGCCCGCACAGGCGGUGGAGUAUGUGGUUUAAUUCGAUGCAACGCGAAGAACCUUACCAGGACUUGACAUGUCGCGAAUUUCCUUGAAAGGGGAAAGUGCCUUCGGGAGCGCGAACACAGGUGGUGCAUGGCUGUCGUCAGCUCGUGUCGUGAGAUGUUGGGUUAAGUCCCGCAACGAGCGCAACCCUCGUUCUUAGUUGCCAGCAUUGAGUUGGGCACUCUAGGGAGACUGCCGGUGACAAACCGGAGGAAGGUGGGGAUGACGUCAAGUCAGCAUGCCCCUUACGUCCUGGGCUGCACACGUACUACAAUGCGACGAACAAAGGGCAGCUACACAGCAAUGUGAUGCAAAUCUCAGAAAUCGUCGCUCAGUUCAGAUCGCAGGCUGCAACUCGCCUGCGUGAAGUCGGAAUCGCUAGUAAUUGCAGGUCAGCAUACUGCAGUGAAUUCGUUCCCGGGCCUUGUACACACCGCCCGUCACACCAUGGAAGCAGGUAGUGCCCGAAGUCAUUACCCCAACGAUUCGUCGAGGGGGAUGCCUAAGGCAGGACUGGUGACUGGGGUGAAGUCGUAACAAGGUA